AUUGAACGCUGGCGGCAGGCCUAACACAUGCAAGUCGAGCGAGCGGCGGACGGGUGAGUAAUGUCUGGGAAACUGCCUGAUGGAGGGGGAUAACUACUGGAAACGGUAGCUAAUACCGCAUACCAUCAGAUGUGCCCAGAUGGGAUUAGCUAGUAGGUGGGGUAAUGGCUCACAUAGGCGACGAUCCCUAGCUGGUCGGAGAGGAUGACCAGCCACAGUGGAACUGAGACACGGUCCAGAGUCCUACGGGAGGCAGGAGUGGGGAAUAUUGCACAAUGGGCUCAAGCCUGAUGCAGCCAUGCCGCGGGGGUGAAGAGGGCCUUCGGGUUGUAAAGCACUUUCAGCGGGGAGGCGUUACCCGCAGAAGAAGCACCGGCUAACUCCGUGCCAGCAGCCGCGGUAAUAC
This 406-nucleotide ribosomal RNA is filed under the name uncultured bacterium. RNAcentral's name for it is "partial 16S ribosomal RNA". It matches the Rfam family "Bacterial small subunit ribosomal RNA", at positions 29 to 526 of the family's 1533-position model. The record is from RNAcentral.